CGCACAUUGCGCCCUCUGGUAUUCCAGAGGGCAUGCCUGUCCGAGCGUCAUUACCUAUGCUCAAGCCUGGCUUGGUCUUGGGUCCCGUCGGCUCUGGCUGGACGGACCCGAAAGGAAAUGACCGACCCUGAAUAGGCCCCGGAUGCAGCGAGCUUCCAGCACGCGUCUCGACGGUCUUCAGGGUCUGGCUCAACCGUGAAUCUUCUUGAUUGACCUCGGAUCAGGUAGGGAUACCCGCUGAACUUAA
Molecule: unclassified non-coding RNA, 247 nt
Filed under: Verrucariaceae sp.
Lineage: Eukaryota; Fungi; Ascomycota; Eurotiomycetes; Verrucariales; Verrucariaceae
Description: partial contains 5.8S ribosomal RNA, internal transcribed spacer 2, and large subunit ribosomal RNA
Source: RNAcentral